This 106-nucleotide small nuclear RNA is filed under the name Catagonus wagneri (Chacoan peccary). Lineage: Eukaryota; Metazoa; Chordata; Mammalia; Artiodactyla; Tayassuidae. The record is from RNAcentral.
GUGAUCACUUUAGCAGCACAAAUAAUAAAACUGGAACAGUACUGAGAAAAUAAGCAUGGCCUCUGCACAGAAUGACAUGCAAACUCAUCAAACGUUCCAUAUUUGU